Molecule: ribosomal RNA, 301 nt
Filed under: uncultured bacterium
Lineage: Bacteria
Description: partial 16S ribosomal RNA
Rfam family: Bacterial small subunit ribosomal RNA
Source: RNAcentral
CAGUAGCCACGGUAAUACGUAGGGCGCAAGCGUUAUCCGGAAUUAUUGGGCGUAAAGAGCUCGUAGGCGGUUUGUCGCGUCUGCCGUGAAAGUCCGGGGCUCAACCCCGGAUCUGCGGUGGGUACGGGCAGACUAGAGUGAUGUAGGGGAGACUGGAAUUCCUGGUGUAGCGGUGAAAUGCGCAGAUAUCAGGAGGAACACCGAUGGCGAAGGCAGGUCUCUGGGCAUUAACUGACGCUGAGGAGCGAAAGCAUGGGGAGCGAACAGGAUUAGAUACCCGAGUAGCCCUGUCUCUUAUACA